CAGGCAGUGCAGUCGGGUUGAAGGGGCCUCCCCCUGGGGAGACAGGGAAGUUGGGGUGGCCGCAGCAGAAGAAAGAGAAAAUCCCCUACUAGUGUUCCAGAAUGGCCUCCCUGUCCUCUCUGCGCCUCCUGCUCCCAGCUGACCUCUCUCAUCCCAGCUCGAUGUGUGAGCUGUAAGAGAGCCAAAGACCAUGGGAGGUCAGCAGCUCCGCAGAGCCAGACGGUCAGGCAUCCAGCUGGCGUCUACCUAUCAGUGAUGGAUUACGUAUCGCCGUUCUCCCGCCUCUAUGAGUCAGUCUACCAACAAGGACCUGCUAUGGGGCCAGCCACUUGCCAGGGGACUGGGGGGCAGGGGCCAGAUAGCGAUGUGGCUGCUGUUGGGGGCCCCAUGGUUGAUAUAGAAGACUGUCAAACGGACCAGAGAGAGAACUAAAACCGAAGAAAGGAUCUCAAUGAAGGCAUGCCACGGGGAUGCAAACUAGAAGUUUCAGAAACAAGACAAGAACCAAAGUGCACAGGGACAGGCUCCUUUCCAGACCUCUCCGUCCUUGGGUUCCUCCGGCACUUCCCACCCGGACCACAGCCCUUUAUCAGAACCAGCUUCGGAUCGCAAGUGGGGUUAAGCGUCAGCUGCUGCGUGUGAACCCGGAAGGGCUCCGUCUUGUGUCCUCACAGCACCUACCCCCUUGCUUUAGGCCCAGAAAGAAAAGAAAUUCACAGGAGACACCGAGUCUCAGACUCUUUCUUGGAUAUAACCAAGAGGUCCCCAGAUCUAAGAGGUGUCCCCAUCCCGGAGCCUCUCCUCUGAAAUACACUUCAGUAUGUCCACAUCCCUUCUCAGUAACGUAGAUCCCAGGUAGCUGCUUCACGGCUGAGGACAGAUGGCUGCAUUAGUGACGUGUGGCACACAUCACACCGUUGCCUUGAGUCAAGCUUGGGGCUGAUCUUGGUCAAGCCUUUUCCACCAAGCCGCAUCUCCCCUGUGUGGUGCUGCUGCUCAUGGUUCUGUGGCGUUUCUUCCUGCUCAAGUUCACGAUGUUAGGAUUCGGCCCACUGUCAAGCACUUUGUCAUCCGAAGGCAUCCAUGUUGCCAUAUCCCUUCCUACUUCCUGCUGUCAGAAGCCUUGGAAAAGCACAAGAUCUACCUGAGCCUUUGUUUCUUCAACUGUAAAAUGGAGGGGACAACCCCUACCUUAUGGGGCUUUCGUGAAGAGCUUGCACUUCUGUCUCUGAAAAGGCAGGAUUGGACCAGAAGGCAUCCCAGGGUGAAAUGCCCAUCAUUCCAUGACAGGAUAGGAAUUGAGACACUUUGGUGAGGAAGAAAUACCUGAUUUCUGAAAACAGCUGAUAUCCUGAACAGUUUCCUGGAAAUUACACCGCUGGUUAACUUUUAUAAAGCAUUCCAAGUGUUGAUCAGCAAGUUCUGAUGCUUCCAAGUGCCCAAAGAGGAAAUCCAGCAGCCAAGUUCCUGGGGGGUCCCAUCUGAUGCUGGAGGUAACCGGCUCCCCCAGUCAGGGACUUGACGCUCUUGACCUCGGCGCUCUUGCCCCCAGCACCCAGACCAGCCUCUGUGAAGAGACCGAGCCCGAGAGGCGACCUGUCCUCACGCACAGACAAUCGUGGUGCCUAUGGGACAUAGCGAGGCUCUAUUUUCUAGACUUGCUCUGUUUGCUGAAAACCCGAAGAAGCCAGUAAAUUGUUUCCUGUGCCUGAAGUGCCUGAAGUGAUGAUGCGGUGUGCUGCUGAUCGAAGAGGUGUCACAUGUCCCCGGGACACGGUGGCCAGAGAGGACACUCAGUGCACGAGCAAGGCUGGAAGACAGAGCCAAGACACAAACUGCAAAGCAACAGCUCAACCGCCCAGAGCGAGUGGGCUUCGCACUAUUUCUGGCCAGAGCAGAUGUGGCCUCGGUGGGCCGUGGGGAACAGUAUCCCUCAGGUAAAAAUAAACUCAUACCGUUAGGACCCAAAGGAUGCCGAUUCCUCAUUCCCAAGCAGAUCGUGAACUGGGAGCUGUGUGGAAAGACAACUGGUUUGGGAAUCCGACAGGGUUCUGCCCUGGAUUUCUUCCAGAUUGCGCUACCAAUCGGCCAUCUGGUCUCGGUCACAUGAGGUGAGCGAGCAUUCACUCAGUGCUCAGUACCUGCUGCGCACUGAGGGGACACGGAGGAGUCUGACAUGUUGAUCUUGCCCUUGGGUAGCCUGCCUUCUAGCAGGGAAGACAAACCUCAGUGGUUUCCGGUGAUGCAGGAUGCUGUGGGGACCAGCGGGGCAGCAUGUCAUCCAGUCUGGGGUGCAGGAAUGCUGCCUGGAGGAGCGGAUGCAUCUGUGCUGAGUCUUAAAGGUGGAGCAGAGGUCAUCCAGGUCUUCUGCCAUCAGUAACAAAUUAUUAAAAGGAUAUUUAGUAGGUCACGCAAGGUGAAAGAGGACUGGCAAAAGGAGACGGUGCAAACCCAAGUGGAUGGAGAAGCUGGAGAGGGAGAAGACAUCUUCAAGCUUCCGGGUGAUGUCAGUGCCGCUGGUCUGUGGACCUCGCGUUGAGUUGCAAGGUCUACAGGGUCCGUUUGGUGCAAUUCUUUACCAUGGCUGGAAUUUGCAUUGCGACAGCCGUGGUGUGAGUCCUUGGACGCCUCAGAGGGAAGACCUAGAGCCUCCUUUGUGCUUCGCGUCUUCCUCCUCUGUGGAGGGGAACACAAAGCUUUUCCUGACUUCCAUGGAUUUCUCCAGAGCCUUGGCUUUUGGAAAUUCUACCAGAAUGACGGCUGCAUUUUUAGUGGUGGAAAUUAUUGAUAGGUCUCAAAAGCAAGGAAUCAGAGAAUAUCUGUUUUCCAGAGGUAAUGUAUGACUUCCACCAAAGCCACACCAGUAUUUCUAAUACCUUAAUGAGUUUUUUUUUUCAUAAGAACAGAACUAAGAUUCCUAUCAUUUCCUGGAAUCUCAAAAGAGAAAAAAAAAAAAAAAGGAAAGAAAGAAAGAAUUCAACUAGAUACCCAUUUGUUAGCCCAACAUUGGAAGGGAUCAGCCUUUGAUUGGGUGGUCACAAAGCAUCACCCAGGCCAAGAAACAGAAAAUGAGACUCUACCUCUCUUGGUUGGCAAGAGUGCAUGGAACUGGAAUACCGAUGGGGCCAUUUUCAGAAAGACAACCUGCUCCAAGAAUUUCUCUCCUUUUCGAUGUCAUCAGCACCCCCAGCUGUAGAGAAAACAUGGAAGUUAGGCAGAUGGUCUCCAUCGCCCAGUGGAAUAUUUUUUUAGAUUUCCCAGGCCCCUUCAGCUGGAACUUAUGAAAUAAACAAUUACAAACUAAAGUGGCAAUUACUGGAUAGAACCACAAAGAAUAAAUAAGGUUUCCAGGGCGCCUGGGUGACUCAGUUGGUUGGGCAUCUGCCUCGGCUCAGGUCAUGAUCCCAGGGUCCUGGGAUUCAGCCCCGCGCCAGGCUCUCUGCUCAGUGAAUUGAGGAAACAGGGAGAGUGCACACCCGACGGAUGGAUAACCCUUAAUGAUGUUGCAAAAACGGGAGAAUAAGAACGUGACAGCUAAGACAGAAGAUGUGUCCCCCUUCCUCUUCGCUUUGAAUGUGGCUCUGUGUAUGACUGGCAGCUGGAAGUUUGACAGGACUCUCCAACCGUGUCUUAAGUGUUCAAAAUGAAGUACAAAACAUAGGAAACUUGGGUCACCCUGGACAACCUAGUGCUCUCGUGUUUGUCUACAGCUUACAUUUCUGUAAGUGGAAAGCGGAAACAAAGGACGUGUAUACUGAAUGUCUCAGGCGAUAACCAUCAGGCUGCCUUCCAUGCUGAAGAGCAAUGAUCACCUGGGGUCUGCAGACCCCCAGAGUCACGGAGAGGACAUGGAAGAAAGUAAGGGAGAGAGAGACCAAGAAAUGGAGACACAGCUCUCUUAUGUGCUAAAAACAAAGAAGAACCUCAUAACUGAUGUGUUUCAUGCUAAAUGGUGCCAGAAGAUGAUCCCCAAAGAACAAGGCAAAGGAGUUAACACAAGCAUCUCUGACCUCACGAUUCCUCAACGUUCCUACUUCUCUUUCCUCUAGUAUAUGUAGGUCUGCACAUCAGAGGACACGGCAUUCAGCCUCAGACCUCCAGAAUCCUGUGUGCAUGUUUGAAAGGAUAAAUAGCCCGCAUUUGAGAGCAUGUGGCGAGACAGGAUUCCUAGCUUACUUUGUAUUUCAUAUUAAAUACAAGACACCUUAACACACUAACAAACAGCAGAAAUUCAGUCUACUUUGCCUUUAUGGACAUCUGUUCUCAGACUGCUGGUUGUUUACCUAACUGCUAUAAUAAAGGCUAAUUUCUACAUUAAAGUAA
Molecule: long non-coding RNA, 4323 nt
Organism: Lutra lutra (Eurasian river otter)
Lineage: Eukaryota; Metazoa; Chordata; Mammalia; Carnivora; Mustelidae
Exons: 22
Source: RefSeq, a predicted model, not a curated record